GGGAAUGUGACUUAAUGGUAGAGUGUUUGUCUAGCAUGCAUGAAGCCCUAGGUUCGAUUCCUCAGUACCA
Molecule: transfer RNA, 70 nt
Filed under: Dipodomys ordii (Ord's kangaroo rat)
Lineage: Eukaryota; Metazoa; Chordata; Mammalia; Rodentia; Heteromyidae
Rfam family: tRNA
About the family: Transfer RNA (tRNA) molecules are approximately 80 nucleotides in length.
Source: Rfam by way of RNAcentral